This is a long non-coding RNA of Etheostoma spectabile (orangethroat darter), 323 nucleotides long. RefSeq lists it as uncharacterized. The transcript has 4 exons. Lineage: Eukaryota; Metazoa; Chordata; Actinopteri; Perciformes; Percidae. The record is from RefSeq and is a predicted model, not a curated record.
UUAAGUGCAAAGAAAUGUAACUGAAUUGCCUUGUUGCUGAAAGGUGCAGUAGAAGUAAAGUUGCCUUGCCUUACUACCUCAGCCUGUCAGUCAGUAUUCAGGUCAUAGAAACCACUGUUGUGCCUGCUUGUCUCAGAGGAAGUGUAACGUCCACAGCACCCUGACUGCCUUCACCUCGUCAUUAAUAUCACAUCACGCUGUCUGCGUGAAGCUUUGAAUAAUUGUAACCACUUUAUCGGCACUGCCAUGACUAACUGUGACUUCAACAAAAGCAGAGCCGACGUAGUUUGCUCGACUGCAGCUCUGCCAGUGUGUGUGUAUGU